This is a long non-coding RNA of Apis cerana (Asiatic honeybee), 4151 nucleotides long. RefSeq lists it as uncharacterized. The record is from RefSeq and is a predicted model, not a curated record. Lineage: Eukaryota; Metazoa; Arthropoda; Insecta; Hymenoptera; Apidae.
CUGUCUUCUCAGGCGCGCAAGUGCCACGACACUUGUCUACGGGGUGUUUUCGAGAACCGGUCCCUCGAGUUGGCACACGGCCGCACGCCUCUCGCUACCGAACUGAUAACGGACGUCGUUUUACAUCGGUUUCUUCUAUUCCUUUUAUCGCGGUAACCCUUCUCAAUUCCAAGUUUUGUUACGUGUCGGUCAAAAGUUCGGAAUCGAUUCGAAUCGUCCAGUCUUUGUCUUCUUGCUUUACUUCGUGGUAAAAAUAUAAUUUCUUCAAGCAUAGGUUCAGUCUUGGAAUAUUUUUAUACAUCAAAUCUGUUAUCUGGAAAGUAAAAUUAAUUCGAUAUCCAAGCGAGAAACACAAAUUUGCAAACAUCUAUAAAUCUUAUCUAUGAUGCAUCGAUGGAGGAUAGGGGAAUAAAAUAUCUUUCGAAUCGCGAAAUUAUCGCCUACCAUAGAAGAUCCCAUACUAAUCACGGGGAAAAAAUAGGAAGAAUCUAAAAAAGGAAAGAAACCCGAGGACAGAUUUCUUCUCGACUACGUCUCGGCCAAGACGAAGCCAACGAUAAAUCCGUUCGGCAGGUGAAAAUCUCAUUGGCCGUUCGAGAGUUGCAGGGGAGAGUCCGAGUUCUGGUCCUCGACAAGAAUUAUUUCCACGAGACGCGAUGCAACACGGAUCCCACACGUGAAACGGCGUGGUUUCGAAGCAAGGGACAAGAGGAUCAAGCUUGUUUCCACCGGUACUUUUCGUGCCACCCGUUGCAUGCCUGGGUCUAUAACCCCAGACGAGGUGUCCCCAGGUAUGCCUUAUCCGAGCCGAGAUCAAGCAGUAAAUUUAUCCGCGUUGCACGCCGCGCGCGUUCUCUGCGACAGAGAACGGAAUCCUUUCGGGCAUUAUUAUUUUCAUUAGGAUUUGUGACUCAUCGCGUGCACGGGACAUUUAUUUGGCGGACUCGUUCGCAGCGACACCUAUAACCGUAGCCAUUCUCUCGCGCUCAUCUCCCACUCAUUCAAUCCAUGCGCGUUUUCCUUUUUUGCUAUUUUAAUUUAUCGUCAUGAUUGUUUGUUAUUUAUUUUUGCUGUUGAUAAGUACAAUUUUGGAUGCAAAAAUAAUCUCGGAAUGAUUUUUUAUAUAAUGAGUAAAUCUAAGGAAUUUUUCUCAUUGACGCGCGAUAUUGCUGAUCUGUCUAAACGAAAUAUAUCGUACACGGAUAUUUAGAAUUAAAAUAAUAUUAUGAAAAUAAUUAGAGAUAUAACUUUAAGAUUCUAAAAUUGUAGGGAAUUUUGAAAAAUGAGAUUUGAUAACUGAUCAAGGAAAUGAAAAGAUUCGAAAAAAAAUAGAAGAUGGGCGGAUAAUUUUUAUUGCUAUUAUUUUUAAUCAUUUUCUCGAUUCAAAAAAUGUGACACGGUGCCAAAAACAACAUUGAAAUGGCGAAAAGACGUGCCAUGCGAUUUUAUGGCAUCAGCGUGGUCUCGCCGUUUUAAACGGCGCUGAGAUAAUGAUCGAAGGCGCGGCACGUUUUAUUAAUCGACUAGUUCGUAAAUAAGGUUUACUUUGAAAUUCCGUAGCAAGGUUCUCCCACCCUAAUCGCGCCAAGAUCGAUUCGUUUGGAUUUUAGAAACGAAAAAGACCAGAAACAAUUUCACGAUGGGAUCGUGAGAAGAUUCUAUCUUCCAAAAGAAACAACGUUCCUGUUCUUAAGGUUAUCUCCUAACCUAUAGAAUUCUUUAAUAAUUCAACCAAUUUCGACGUUAAAAAUGUUGAACCCUGCAUAUUAAUCAAAUGACAAACGUAAAAAAAAAACAUGAAAAAUACCAAUAUAUAAAAGAAAAAAUCAAUGGAUAAGAAAAAAAAGAAAAUUUGAUAUAUAAAUGUCUAUAUGCCGCGAUACUAUCAAAUAAUUCGUAUUACGCAUGCGCACUAUUUCUAUCGAAAAAGAUCACCGUGUCAUGGCGGGGUGAAUUUAUUAAAGAAAAACGUGAUUACCAUGUACCGCGCGCCACGAACCCUGACCCCACUCGUUUGCGAGGGGGCGAUAUCGUGUGGUGGCUCGAAUAAAGUGUGCGACAACGCAGGGGCGACAGAGUCGAUAUAAUCCGAUUUUACGAGGCGGCCCACGAGAGAAAAAGAUUCAACCGGCUGAACAGAGAAAGUCCACGAAGAAGGUGCGACAAAGAGGGCGAGAAAGUAGGGAGAUCCUAUCUCGACCCCGUGCUGCUCUCUCCCGAGCGAUAUAAACUUAGACGCGAAUUAGUGGAAUCGCGCAAGCCGAUACCAUCUCAUUUCGGCCGGCUGGCGAAUAACCACCAUAGGAAAUUUAUCGGGAAAUUAAAUUACGAAUUAUGCUAAUCCAACCGAAUAGCCGCUCACCUCUCUCUUUUUCUCUCCCUUUCUUCAUCUCCGUAAGAAUGAACACGACCAGUGAAGACGACGAUGUUGUUCGAUUCGUACUGACAGAUAUGAUCGGUCCAUCGGUUCUAACCAACGAUGCGACUUUUGUUUAUAAUAUAUUUCAUACGGUUUUCGAAUUACACGCGAGAUGUCGUGCGUGACAGUGCCACCCACUCGCCAUCAUUGGCCGCCAAUUGGAAUAUCUUUUUCUCAUUGUCGACGAUAAAAGACGAUGCUUGCAUGUAAUGCAAUAAAAUGGAUUAAAACAAACAAUGGAAUAUAUCUGGUUAUUUGAAGAGUGUUAUUAAUUUCAGUGUAAGUACACCGGACGAUUCGUAGUCUACAAAAUGUCUAUGGUUUGUAGGUAUUUCGUUAUUCAUCGUACAUAACCUCGUUCGACUUCGUCGUCUCUUUCUUAUUUAAAGUUUAUUGUGCAUAAUUUUAACCAAUGACAAGAUUGUCAUACUAUUUCUUACUCGUUAAUCUGAUUGCCAACAGUGUUUUUUUAACCAUCUAUUCGAGUUUAUAAGAUAGCAAGGAAUUUUGAGGGCGUGAGAUGUAAUGCCACGUUUCCAAUGGUCGUCAGCGUGGCGUCUUGCAUGAGACACGCGUAGACAGACUGUAUAUCUUUGUCUUAAGUUGGAGAAGGAUGGGGUUAAAGAAGAAAGAGCAAAAGACACGAGAAGUGGCCAGUGGAAAGCCGACUAAAACCCGAGCCAAGAGAUCUGAGAUUUCGACUUCUAUUCUGGUCGGAGAUGCGAUCCGAUUGCGCUCGACGUCGCGUUAGAAACGCGAGACAAUAUUAUUAGACACGUUGGAAAAACGGAGAAAAAGAAAAAACAAUUUCUAACAAACUUACCGACAUUAACGACAUAGAUCAUACAACUCAAUUAACAAUGAAGCUGGAAAUUUAAUAAUAUCAGAAGGAAUAUCUUACGAUUCACAUUUUAUGUUAUUUUAUUAUUCCCAGUAAUAAAAAAACAUAUUGUUUUAAGGAAAACUAUAAAAUCUUUCUCGAGAGGAGAGCUCUUUCAAAUACAAAAGAUGAAUACUUCAGGAUUACUUUGAACACCGUCAAAAAGGCAGGAAGGCAAGCUUUUCUCCGCGGACGAAGAAGCAUUUCAUGGAUGUGAAGAGAGCAAAUUGAAAAUCGGUUGUUUCUCUCUACUCUUUAGAUCCAGUCUGCUCGGCAGGUGAGCACGUUGAGGAAGAAGCGUUGAGAGAAGAAGGGACUUCACCGGCAGCUGAUUCCAUAAGCAGAUAGGAAAGAAUUUCUUCGGCCUAAAAUAAUGGGGAUGCAGCCUACCGUGUACACACCGCCUCUGUUUACAAACUUUGGCUCGCCUCUCUUUUCCUCCACGGUCAGCUGAAACGCAUCCACCUUUUUUUUUUCUACCUGCUCUUUCUCUACCUCUUUGCAAAUAUACCAAUCGCGCAAUUUUAAAGGAAAAAUAUCCUCCAUGAAUUGUAACUUGUACUGUUUUCUUUUUAAGGAUAUAAUAAUAAUAUGUAUGAAAAAUAAUACCUAUAUACUGAUUGUGAGAAAGUUACUUUUACGAUAUUGUAUGAAACAAUACCUAUUAUCAAUAUUUUUAAACAACUUUUAAUAAUUAUUAAAUUUAAUGACAAAUAAUAUGUAAUCAGAAUUGUUGUAUCGAUAUAUUUAAAAAUUAAUUAUUUCGAUAACGUUAAUAAAUGUGAAGAAACAAGUGUAAAAGAAUAAAAGUGUAAGAAUAAAUCAAGAAUUAUCUUCCUGAUUUAAUUUAUA